RNAcentral lists this long non-coding RNA (499 nucleotides) under Brassica napus (rape). Its description in RNAcentral is "long non-coding RNA (BNAP_LNC014863)". The record is from RNAcentral. Lineage: Eukaryota; Viridiplantae; Streptophyta; Magnoliopsida; Brassicales; Brassicaceae.
UCCGGUGGAAACGUGGCGUAGUAACCUCCAUGUCCUGAGCUGUAGUCUCCAUACCAUUGUUGGCUCUGAACUUCUUCAAUCUUAGCUUCACUUUCUGAAGAGGCUAGGGAUGGAGACUUGUUUCCAGAGGCGGAAGGCUGAGUGGGUGGGUUCCUCCGUUGUCGCUGGAGCUGUCUAUCAGUGAGUGGGAAACCAAGAUCAGUGGGGUGAGGUGGGGGCUGGGGGACUGAUGUGUUCGCGAAGGCGAAGUCCGCUGAGCUACAUCCAGCUAUUCCUCCUCUGGUCAAGACAUCGGCCACUUUCUUCAUGAACUUGGCUGAAGUCUUUGCUUGCUUCUUCACCGUCUUGCUCAGUGCCUUGCACUUGUCCUUCAGCUUUUCGAUCGUUCUGUCUUGUGCCUUGUUCCAUCGCUGAAGUCGGCUAAUGUGGUCAUGAGCAUCACGAAGCGCACCAGGGGGAAGGACUCCAUCAUGCGGCUUGAAGUAGUAGCGUGGAGGUC